RNAcentral lists this non-coding RNA (143 nucleotides) under Protocruzia adhaerens. The record is from RNAcentral. Lineage: Eukaryota; Ciliophora; Spirotrichea.
AUUUUUUUUGGUCUUUUUUUGUUCUUCACUUUUUUCCCUCUUAUUUUGCAAGCCACCAAGGCGUGGUUAUGGAAAAUUACAGAAAGGUAAUAUUUUGGUUUACUAACUAAAGGAAUCAGCUCUGGAAAGAGUCAAGGGAUAUU